Poecilia reticulata (guppy) is the source of this 7474-nucleotide long non-coding RNA. RefSeq lists it as uncharacterized. NCBI's taxonomy places the organism in Eukaryota, Metazoa, Chordata, Actinopteri, Cyprinodontiformes, Poeciliidae. The record is from RefSeq and is a predicted model, not a curated record.
CAUAAACAAAAACAAAAAUCAAGGAAGUUGGAGAACAUGCACAUCCUACAUUUAUUUGUUUAUUUCUAUCCCCAUUCACAGCUCUUUCAGUUUCAAACCAGCCGUAAACACAAACACACACACACACACACAGAGCUUUACAGUUCUCCUGCAAAACAUACAUUACACUGACAGGCAGACAAGGCAGACUUCAAAAGCAAGAAAUAAAUAAAUUAAACAGAAGUAUGACGGGGAUUAAUUAGUAAAACGAGGGGAUAGAAGGAGACGCAAAACAGGAAGGAAAGAUGGAGUUUGGAGCUGAAAGAGAGGAAGCAGAGAGGGAGCCGCGGUGAUCUUUGGAAGGAGGCUGGAGGUGCAGGCAGCGAGACGAAGAGUGUCACUUCUAGUUUUGCUAAAGCUAAUGUGGCAUGCAGCAGAAACAGCCAAAAAGAAACUUCUCAGGUGUAAACAUGUGCAGGUUGCUCACUUUCAUGCAGGAUGAGUCGGAGCGACAUUUUUAUUUUUUUUUAAUACCCUUCCGAAUUUCCUGCACCGUCUUCUCUUCAUUAUUUGGAGAAGGGCGAGUGUGAACGCAAAUAUGCAAAUGAAACGGUUAUUAUUGCAUUGCUCAUCAAGCAGCGCGAAGCAGACAUUAAUAGGCUGAUGAAUAUGCAUGUGAAUUUGUUAAUUAAGUUAAUUAUUCUGCUGAAAAUGCAUUCGUCUUCCAAGGACAUCUUCCCCAGGACUCCAACCUGCUCUGCUCAUUAGUCAUGCGAUAUUUUACACUGGGCACCGGGACAAGAACGAGGGGAGGGAGGGGCACCGAGGUUAAGACGUGUGCGAUAUGAGGGCAUUGUGGGUUUUGAGUCCACUUAAGAACACGGAUUUGAGGGCAUCUGAGAGAGAUACGGUGGCGCGGCGAUGACGCCUAAUCAUUCGUCCGCUCUUCAAAAGUGAAAGGUCAGCGAAAGAGACAGAGCACGGCAGCCGGCUACAGAGGGGCGUUCACGUCUCUUGUAGCCAGACGUUCGUUCCAUUUCUGCUUUUUCCUCUUUUCCUCUCCAGUAAUUCCCCCCUCUUCGCUGCUUUUCCUCUAAUUGCUUAUUAAAACCCUCUUAAAUGAACUUUUUGUGCCAACUUUCCAACACAUUAAUUAAUUGUUGUAGCCAAUUAAGUGUCGCUGUGCAAAUGAGCUUCAGCACAAAUGGUCCUGCAGGGCCCGCACCCCCUCUACCCCCUCCCCUUCCUACACCCCUACCCUCUCCCUUACUUCUUUCCCAGCAGCCCCUCUGCCCUUAAAGAGGCAGCAUCGGCACGUGCAGGCGCCGAGGGGGGGAGACAAGGCAGUGAUGCUGCCGUGCUGAUCGAGCUUUUUGAACCGAAUUGAUAAGAAGAAGGUGAGACCUUGAGGGGUGGGGGGGGGAUGACUUUGGUUUGCAGAAGUGCAUCAUCAUGCAGAGAGGAUGGUGUGAAUUUGGCUGAGGUGGCGGUAUCGCCAAGACAAAAGGUCACAGAAUACGUUUAAAGUAGCCAGCAGUGUCGUCUUUCCUGAGUUUUUCUUUGCAUUACAGCCUCUCCGGUUAGCCUCACUGCUGUUGGAAGACCCAGAGCAGAGUUUCCUCUUCAUGGUCUAUGCUUGGUCAUUUUUGCCAUCUGUUUAACACCACUUGUCCUACAGUUAAAUAGUGACAAAUAUAAAAUAAAAUGGACACCUGACUGAAUUUAGUCUCCCUCAAUGCUUCAUGCAUAUCUUUAUAUUUUGUUUGAGUCAGAUUUUUCCAUGCAUUAAGAUUUUUUUUUAAUUCCCUACUAUGUUUUUUGAACUGUUACGUCACAGUGUCAGCUGUGGAAGUGCAAAACAAGGUCAUGAACCAAUUUUACGAAUCAGCCAUUUUUACUUCUCGCAGUGAUUUUGUAGUUGAAAUUCAAGGAUGUCAAAGAUAAAAGUGGACAAGUCAGCAAGCAGCAAAGAAUUAAGCUGCAAAUAAUGCUAAACUGACGACAAACUUUAUUUUAGACACGAAUUUACUGUGUGUUAAUAUGACAUCUUGGCCAGUGUGAUGACAUCAUUAGCAUUAUGAAUGCUAGCGGUGUGUGUGCUCACUUUUAGGGACAUAACUACACUGCCUGCUUUUGAGUAGUAUUAUUAAACAGUUUGUCAUUGUUUUUGUCAGUUGUCUUGGGAAACGCACCAUCCAGAGGGAUUCAGUGACGUUCUUAGUGCUAGCGUUAGCUAACUCAUUAACUCUAUUGAGGCCUUUUGUAAAGACGUCUAUGUGAGGUUGGAUGGUUUCUGUUGAUGACAUCUUUUGAUCAAUUUAGAAAUGAAAAGUUUAUAUGUUUUUAUAUAGACAACAAUCGUUUAAAACGAAGGAUUAAAAGCGUCAGCUUUAAAGUUAACUUUUAGUUUUAGCAACAUUUUGGAGCGGUCCAGCCAGAGUCCUGAUUUAAAUGUGAUGUUUUCUUCAAAUGUAUGUUGACUGUGAUUAAAAGCCGCAUUUGUAUUUGUAAACUGUUUUCAAGGUGAGUUCAAGUUUUCUUUCUGCCUCUUUUCGGUACAAACGUCCUCAAAGUCUGCUUGCAAAGUCCAGGCCUGACAUAACAAGCAUGUGUAACAUGAAAUUUCCUAGAAAAAAACUAUAAAAUAAAGAGAAAUGGUGGGGAGGGGGUCGUGUUAUGGCGCCUAUAAAACUUGCUGUUUCAGCAGUAAACCAUAGAUCACAGCUGGGAGGAAGUGAAUCUGUUUUUGAAAUAUUGCAUAAAACAGAGAUGUACUCAUAAACAAAAUGGCUGACAUUAAAUUUUAUUUGAUAGAAGACAAAGAAGAGCUGAUGAAGACAAGAAUAUUUACACGCAAGCUGUCUUAAUAAUUAAAACGAUUUUGAUUCACAUUUUGCUCAACUAAAGGGGUGCAGGAAUCUCAGUUCUACUUCACUUUUAUUUUAAUGUGUACGUUUGCCAAUAUUUGGAGUUCUGGGCUGGUAUUUGUSUUUUUUGUUUAAUUUGGCUUUGUGUGUCUUGGAUGUGGAGCUGCGGAAGUCCCUGCCUCUCCUCGACGAGUUCACAAGCUGAUCAAACAGCYUCAGUCAUCAAACCGGCAAAUUGCUCACAAAGACAAAAUGCAGACGGCACUGCACACACUCAUGUUUUCAUUGCUGGGUUAUGUUCUAUAGAGGCAGUUAAGAACUUUUUAAUCGACACCUUUUUAUAUGUUCAAAUGAAGUUUUAACAUGAGAAAUAGAAGAAUUAGACGAAUUAAUGAAACAUUUCGGAACGUUUAACGCUUUGCUAGCUCAAUUGUCUUCUUCUAAAAAUCCYGUUAAGUUUAUUCAAGAGUUGUAUUGAUAUGCAUAACGUCCUUUGUUUUGCACGGUGGUUUAAACAGAAUCAAAGUGCUUCAUUUGUUCCUCGCAAAUUAGAAAGUACAGGGAGUUCUGAGUUUGCUGCCAGAUUACAAUAUGGUGGUAUAAUUUAAGAAAARAAAAAAAAAAAAAACUCAACCAUGUGGCAUUUAAGAAACGGUUUGUAGCUUGUAGAAACCUCGAGAAAAUGCUUCCAUUUCUUUUUAUAGUGAAUUUUUACUGUAAAAUUGGCAUUGUUCCAUUCCGUUUUAAUUCAGGGCUGCUCAAAGAUCCUUUAAAUAUCACAUGGCACCCAAACCAGGUGUUUAAUAUUGCUCACCACCAGAUCUGAGAGGGACUCAGAAAAUUCAAUCAGUCUUUGAAAUAAAAACCCAAGCACUCAUUAAAUCAGUUUAGCACGAAUAGACUGAAACAAACCCUCAGCAAUUUCACUGUUUGUCUGGAAGUCUCCCAGAAUCACUGCAGCUGACUUAAGUGCCAGCAUUCAAAGUGGAGGCUCCAUUUUGAUCGCCGCAGACUGUCCCCUGCCAUGGCGACGCCCUGAUUUAUUCGUCUCGUCUUUGUGACUUGGCGCUGGCAUUGCCCACUACAUCCUCCAGUGGAAAGUCCCCGCGGGCACAUUCACUAUUAUUUGGAGUCCCGGCGGGCGGAGGCAUCAGACAGAAUGCAGCGCCGUCUCAUCUCAUUCACACUGGGCCUGUGCUAGAGGGCAGGUGAGCCUCCCUCCGCCUCCUCUCUGAAUGGAUAUCCCACCCAGAGGGCUCAGCUGCUCGCCGGGCCAGAGGGGUAAGCGGCUCUGUAAGCGUGCCAAGUGAGGAGCUGGUCUCUGUGUGCAUGAAACCAAUCCAGCACACGCACACACACAAACACACACACACACACACACACACAAUCUGCACCAUCCUUGGAAGCCUCUGCGUUUGCCCAUCUAAGGUUUAUGAUCCUUGGCUGCCUGUCGGGAUCUUCAUAGAGAGAUCAAACCAAGUGGGGGAAUAACUGAUGUAUAAAUAUGAUUGAUAUAGAGGGAGAACCAAUCAUGGAGACGUCGUGUCUCCAUCUGACUGGGUUGGAAUAUAAUCCAUCCGACUUUAAUUGGGUUGGAGACAAUAUUACAAGUCUGCUCACUUUUAAAAAAUGUGUAAUUUAGCUGCUUGUGCAUUUUUGCUGGCUAGAAAUACAUCAGUCAGCUAAACAGCCUUGAUCUGCUGAUUGGAGAAAAUUCCCACUUUUAUUUAAGUCUAUAAAUGUAACAACACACAGAAUGUUAAGAUCUAAUAAAGGUUGGGACUAUUGUAUGAUGCAUAAAUAAGGAUAUUGCUGUAACCCCUUUUCUGCUGUAAUCAAAACARCCACUUCUCUCAKGAAGCCUGAAACAACAUAUGCAUMAAUUAUUAUUUUUAAAUAUAUAUAUAAUGUAAAACAUAAGGUUGACGCUACAAUAAUAUUAUACGAAAGCGGAAGCCUGCCAUGGUCAUGUCAUCAAGGUAAAGUAUUGAAAGAAAAUCAAACAACAAAAAAAUGUAAAUGUCUCAAUAAUGUCCUGUGGUUUUGAGCAUCAAUUGCAGAUGUUUCCUGCUGCUUAUAAGUCGACUUAUUGUCUGCGGAGGCAUGGCGUCCCACUCUUCUUGAAUGGUGGCCCUUCAGGUCACAGCUGACCCCCCACCUACCCACUCCAACACCACCACCACUUCUGGUGACGCAUAGCGCUCUCCUUGAUGUCUUUAACAUCGUUGGUUGCCAUAAAUUCUUCUCAUAGUGAAUCAACUUUGAUCAGAGAAAAGCUCUAAGACGCUUUUGUCCAGUGCAAAUGCUCCCUGACCCUUGCAGGACUACACCAAUACCUGGUGGUCUGGUCGGGUAUAGUGCCUUUAAAAGGUAUUGAUGAAUGUUUUAACAAUUUUAUUGCUUUAAAAAUCCCUCACAAACAACCCUUUAAUGACACUGCAUACAUAUUUGGCUCCUUUUAAGUGACUGACCUGAUUCAAGAGUUCUGGAUAACUUGCGUUUGUUUUCUCAGUGAGUGGAAUAGAGAUGAUGACCGGAGUGCAGUGAGUGCAUCACAAGUGGCUGGAGUAUGGAAGACAUAAAAAUGCAUAAAGACACCCCAAGCAAAUCGGAGAAAAGGUUAUUGACAAGUUUAAGUCAGGGGAUGGAUACAGAAAAAUCUAAGGCAUUAAACAUAACCUAGAGUCCAGCUAAGCCCAUCAAAAAAUGUAUUAUUUUUGAUGGAUUUAUGCCUCUUUUUUGUGGAAGAGAGGCAUAAAGAGACAAGAAAACUAAUAUCAACGCUCAACUUGAGACCAAUGGUUAAAUGGACGAAAGUUCUUCAGCCUGACGAAACCAAAAUGGAGCUUUUUGGUCAUCAGAUCUGAGAGACACGGUUUGGUGGAGACCAAACACUACACAUCACCACAAAAACACAACAUCCCCACUUUGAAGCAUGGUGGUGGCAGUACGAGUGGACCAGUCAAAGCCCAGACUUUAAUCCAAAAGAGAAUUUGUAGCUAGAGUGGAAAAGGGAGGCUCAAAGCUGACCCCCAAGCAACCUGACGGAGUUUGAACAGUUUUGCAAGGAAGAAUUGAGUAAAAUUGUCAAGUUCAGAUGUGCAAGUUUGAUUGAGACCUAUAGACAGUCUGUGCUGUGAUGGCAGCCAAAGGUGCGUCUGUGUUAGACAUUUAGUAAAAAAAAAUGUUUACCAAGUUUUCACUUUCACAUUAAAGAAUUUUCUGGUAAAAUUCCUUCAUCAGAAAAAGCCAAGCUUUUCCAUCAGUAAAAAUCCUAUUGCAUUUUUUCCCUUCCAGUGGUACUGAGGUGCUGUUGAUCAAUUGUUAGGCGUCGUCUUGAUCAGAUCAUCUCCAUCCAAUCUCAUUUGAGCUACGCUGCAAUGGACGAAUCCCAAAUCUACUUUUUGUGUAUCACAUAAAAUGCCAAACUUUUACAAGUAUGUGGACUUAACAGGGGGAACGUGGAAAUAUAAAACAGGUGCAUCAGUUUUGGACUACAUGUGCAAAACUGAAAAAGAGAGAACCAUUUAAAAACGAUGCUAAUAUCUGAGGUCAAAUGAGAUUUUCCAAGAAUGUUUUACUGCACACCUGAGUGUCCUCUAUUCAGUAUUUUUGUGCUUUUUUUCCUUCAGAGACAUCAUUCUGACUCAAAGUUAAACAACUCAUAGCUCUGUAACCUGGCCAACACAGCAGUUCUCACCUUUUAUGAGCAAAGCAAACAGUUUGGAUUUGUGGAAAUGUCUACCAUCUAGUGGUCACUUCACACAAACGCUCAGAAAUGGUAUGUAGUCCAUCUGGUGGAAUAACCUUUAAUAAGCGACCCACAACCCCAAAAACACAAUUACAAUUAUUUUUGUCGUUUCUUCUGUCUUUUAUUUUACAGACAUUACUUCUCCCUUUCUUCAAAGCAAAAAACGGAAGCAAAAUGGCUGACCGUCACUUGUUAAAGCGUUUUUUUUCACUUUAUGUGGAAAAUAAUCUAAUCAAAAUAAAGAAAAUGAGGGGGACGCGCUUACGGCCCAGGUAAAUCCAUGUGCAUUUAUUCAACUUUACGUGAACUAGUGUAGCAUGUGCAGAGCAGCGACGUAUAAUGUUUUGAUAUAAUCCGUUUAUGGGUCAGAAACAGGAGAACUAGAGGCUCGUUAAAGAAAUGAUUGUUGCACGUCAUAGGGUCACAGUUCAGGUAGGACAGUACAUCCCAAUCUGCUGAGGUUUGGGCUUUAAAACAAAAGAAAUGCUCUGAAAAACAUACACAGUGGACACUCAAAGCAGAACUGAAGCCCCACCAUACCCGAGAUCGCUCAGGAAAAGCUGAAACGUCAGACUGAAAACAGGAGGAGCUCGCCAUUUAAAAUAAACUGAAAAAACAUUGUUCUCCGUAACACUGAAACGCGCUGAAAGGGGGCCACUGCAGUGGAACUGACAAUCAUUAAGCCUCAGUUGCAUAGCACUCAGUUUAGCAGUCCGGCCUCGUCGAUGUUUGGAAAAGAGCAAAGACGUGGAGGCGGCGAGUGUUGCAACCUGAACUAAUCCUUGACAGCCUGACCCCAUGUCCAAACACUCCCACCAAAGCAACAGAACAGCUUGCUCCAUUAGGCAAAUGCGUUCAUUACCUGAAGGAAAAAAAA